GGGGGGUGGAAGUGGGGGGGGGGGGGGCGAAUGGGGGCGAAUGGUGGCGAAAUGGGUGGAAAAGGAUCCAAAAAAUGGUGGAAAAUGAUGGAAAAUGAUCCAAAUUGAUCCAAAAAUGGUGGGGAAAAUGGAGGAAAGUGAUGAAAAAUGGUGGAAAAUGAUGCAAAAUGAUCCAAAAUGGAGGAAAAUGAUCCAAAAUGAUCCAAAAAUGGUGGAAAAUAAUCCAAAAUGAUGCAAAUUGAUCCAAAAAUGGUGGCAAAAACGGAGGAAAAUGAUCAAAAAUGGAGGAAAAUGAUCCAAAAAAUGGUGGAAAAUGAUCAAAAAUGGAGGAAAAUGAUGGAAAAUGAUCCAAAUUGAUCCAAAAAUGGUGGCAAAAAUGGAGGAAAGUGAUGAAAAAUGGAGAAAAAUGAUCCAAAAUGAUUUAAAAAAUGGAGGAAAAUGAUCCAAAAAUGGAGGGAAAUGAUCAAAAAUGGAGGAAAAUGAUCCAAAUUGAUCCAAAAAUGGUGGCAAAAAUGGAGGAAAUGAUCUAAAAUGGAGGAAAAUGAUCCAAAAUGAUCCAAAUUGAUCCAAAAAUGGUGGGGAAAAUGGAGGAAAGUGAUGAAAAAUGGUGGAAAAUGAUCCAAAAUGAUGAAAAGUGGAGGAAAAAUUGGUAGAAAAUGAUCCAAAAUGAUCCAAAAUGGAGGAAAAUGAUCCAAAAAUGAUCGAAAAUGGUGGAAAAUGAUCCAAAUUGAUCAAAAAUGGGGGGAAAUGGUCCAAAAUGAUCCAAAUUGAUCCAAAAAUGGUGGGGAAAAUGGAGGAAAGUGAUGAAAAAUGGAGAAAAAUGAUCCAAAAUGAUGAAAAGUGGAGGAAAAAUUGGUGGAAAAUGAUCCAAAAUGAUCCAAAAUGGAGGAAAAUGAUCCAAAAAUGAUCGAAAAUGGUGGAAAAUGAUCCAAAUUGAUCAAAAAUGGGGGGAAAUGGUCCAAAAUGGUCCAAAUUGAUCCAAAAAUGGUGGGGAAAAUGGAGGAAAGUGAUGAAAAAUGGUGGAAAAUGAUCCAAAAUGAUGAAAAGUGGAGGAAAAAUUGGUGGAAAAUGAUCCAAAAUGAUCCAAAAUGGAGGGAAAUGAUCCAAAAAUGAUCGAAAAUGGUGGAAAAUGAUCCAAAUUGAUCAAAAAUGGGGGGAAAUGGUCCAAAAUGAUCCAAAUUGAUCCAAAAAUGGUGGCAAAAAUGGAGGAAAAUGAUCUAAAAUUGAGGAAAAUGAUCUAAAAUGGAGGAAAUGAUCCAAAAAUGGUGGGGAAAAUGGAGGAAAGUGAUGAAAAAUGGAGAAAAAUGAUCCAAAAUGAUUAAAAAAAUGGAGGAAAAUGAUCCAAAAAUGGUGGGAAAUGAUGAAAAAUGAUCCAAAUUAAUCAAAAAUUGGGGAAAAUGGUCCAAAAAUGGUGGCAAAAAUGGAGGAAAAUGAUCAAAAAUGGAGGAAAAUGAUCCAAAAUGAUCCAAAUUGAUCCAAAAAUGGUGGCAAAAAUGGAGGAAAAUGAUCUAAAAUGGAGGAAAAUGAUAAAAAAUGGAGGAAAAUUACCCAAAAUGAUCCAAAAAUGGAGGAAAAAAUGGAGGAAAAUGAUCAAAAUUGAUCAAAAAUGGGGGAAAAUGGUCCAAAAUGAUCACAAAAUGGAGGAAAAUGAUCAAAAAUGGAGGAAAAUGAUCCAAAAUGAUCCAAAAUGGAGGGAAAUUAUCCAAAAAUGGGGGAAAAUAAUGAAAAAUGAUCCAAAUUGAUGAAAAAUGGUGGAAAAUGAUCCAAAAUGAUCACAAAAUGGAGGAAAAUGAUCCAAAAUGAUCCAAAUUGAUCCAAAAAUGGUGGCAAAAACGGAGGAAAAUGAUCAAAAAUGGAGGAAAAUGAUCCAAAAAAUGGUGGAAAAUGAUCAAAAAUGGAGGAAAAUGAUGAAAAAUGAUCCAAAUUGAUCCAAAAAUGGUGGGGAAAAUGGAGGAAAGCGAUGAAAAAUGGAGGAAAAUGAUAAAAAAUGGAGGAAAAUUACCCAAAAUGAUCCAAAAAUGGAGGAAAAAAUGGAGGAAAAUGAUCAAAAUUGAUCAAAAAUGGGGGAAAAUGGUCCAAAAUGAUCACAAAAUGGAGGAAAAUUACCCCAAAUGAUCCAAAAAUGGUGAAAAAUGGUGGAAAAUGAUCAAAAAUGAUCCAAAAUGGAGGAAAAUGAUCCAAAAUGAUCACAAAAUGGAGGAAAAUUAUCAAAAAUGAUCAAAAAAUGGUGAAAAAUGGUGGAAAAUGAUCAAAAAUGAUCCAAAAUGGAGGAAAAUGGUCCAAAAUGAUCACAAAAUGGAGGAAAAUUACCCCAAAUGAUCCAAAAAUGGAGGAAAAAAUGGAGGAAAAUGAUCAAAAUUGAUCAAAAAUGGGGGAAAAUGGUCCAAAAUGAUCACAAAAUGGAGGAAAAUUACCCCAAAUGAUCCAAAAAUGGAGGAAAAAAUGGAGGAAAAUGAUCAAAAUUGAUCAAAAAUGGGGGAAAAUGGUCCAAAAUGAUCACAAAAUGGAGGAAAAUUACCCCAAAUGAUCCAAAAAUGGUGAAAAAUGGUGGAAAAUGAUCAAAAAUGAUCCAAAAUGGAGGAAAAUGAUCCAAAAUGAUCACAAAAUGGAGGAAAAUUAUCAAAAAUGAUCAAAAAAUGGUGAAAAAUGGAGGAAAAUGAUCAAAAAUGAUCAUAAAUGAUGGAAAAAUGGAAUAAAAAUUGACGGAAAAUGGUGAAAAAUGAGGAAAAAUGGUUGAAAAAAGGACCAAAAAAUGGGAAAAUGAGGGAAAAAUGGGGAAAAAUUUGAAUAAAAAUGAGGAAAAUUUGAAUGAAAAAUGGGGGAAAAAUGGGGAAAAUGGGAAAAAAAUGAGAAAAAAAUGAGAAAAAAUGGGGAAAAAAUGAAUAAAAAUGAGGAAAAUGAGGAAAAAAAUGAAUAAAAAUGAGGGAAAAUGAGGGAAAAAUGGGUCAAAAAAUGAGGAAAAAAAGAAUAAUAAAUGGUUCAAAAAUUAGGAAAAAUUGAAUAAAAAUGAGGAAAAAUUGAAUGAAAAUUGGGAAAAAAUCGGGAAAAAAUUGGGAAAAAUGAGUAAAAAAUGUGAAAAAAAUGAGAGAAAAUGAGGAAAAAAUGAGUAAAAAUGAGGGAAAGUGAGGAAAAAUGGGUGAAAAAAUGAGGAAAAAAUUGACUGAAAAAUGGUUCAAAAAUGGGGAAAAAUUGAAUAAAAAUGAGAAAAAAUUGAAUGAAAAAUGGGGAAAAAAUCGGGGAAAAUGGGGAAAAAUGAGAAAAAAAUGGGAAAAAAUGAAUAAAAAUGAGGAAAAUAUUGAAUAAAAAUGAGGGGAAAAUGGGUGAAAAAAUGAGGGAAAAAUUGAAUGAAAAAUGGUUCAAAAAUGGGGAAAAAUGAGAAAAAAAGGGAGAAAAUGAGGAAAAAAUGAAUAAAAAUGAGGAAAAUGAGGGAAAAAUGGGUGAAAAAUGAGGAAAAAUGAGGAAAAAUGAGAAAAAAAUGAAUAAAAAUAAGAGAAAAUGAGGAAAAAAAUGAAUAAAAAUGAGGAAAAUGAGGAAAAAAUGGGUGAAAAAAUGAGGAAAAAAAUGAAUGAAAAAUGGUUCAAAAAUGAGGAAAAAUUGAAUAAAAAUGAGAAAAAAUUGAAUGAAAAAUGGGGAAAAAAUCGGGAAAAAUGGGGAAAAAUGAGUAAAAAAUGAGGAAAAAAUUGAAUAAAAAUGAGGAAAAAUUGAAUGAAAAAUGGGGAAAAAAUGGGGAAAAUGGGGAAAAAUGAGAAAAAAUGAAUAAAAAUGAGGAAAAAAAUGAAUAAAAAUGAGGGAAAAUGAGGAAAAAAUGGGUGAAAAAAUGAGGAAAAAAAUGAAUGAAAAAUGGUUCAAAAAUGGGGUAAAAUUGAAUAAAAAUGAGAAAAAAUUGAAUGAAAAAUGGGGAAAAAAUCGGGAAAAAUGGGGAAAAAAUGGGGAAAAAUGAGAAAAAAAUGAGAAAAAAUGGGGAAAAAAUGAAUAAAAAUGAGGAAAAAAUGAGGAAAAAAUGGGUGAAAAAAUGAGAAAAAAUUGAAUGAAAAAUGAUUCAAAAAUGGGGAAAAAUUGAAUAAAAAUGAGAAAAAAUUGAAUGAAAAAUGGGGAAAAAAUGGGGGAAAAUGAAUAAAAAAGAGAAAAAAAUGAUUAAAAUGAGGAAAAUAUUGAAUAAAAAUGAGGGAAAAUGAGGGAAAAAUGGGUCAAAAAAUGAGGAAAAAAAAGAAUAAUAAAUGGUUCAAAAGUGGGGAAAAAUUGAAUAAAAAUGAGGAAAAAUUGAAUGAAAAAUGGGGAAAAAUGAGUAAAAAAUGAGAAAAAAAUGAAUAAAAAGGAGGAAAAAUAGAAUGAAAAAUGGGGAAAAAUGGGGAAAAAUGAGGAAAAUGAGGAAAAAAUGGGUGAAAAAAUGAGGAAAAAAAUGAAUGAAAAAUGGUUCAAAAAUGGGAAAAAAAUUGAAUAAAAAAUGACCAAAAAUGGGGAAAAAAUGAGGAAAAAAUUGAAUAAUUAAAAAAAAAAAAAAGGAAAUAAUUGGAAAAAUAAUUAUAAAAAAUAAUUGGAAAAAAAAUAAUUCAGAAAAAAAUAAUUUAAAAAGGAAAUAAUUGGAAAAACAUAUUAAAAAUAAUUGGAAAAAAUAAUUUAGAAAAAUAAUUGGAUACAAAAAUUGGGGGGAAAUCGGAAUAAUAAUUAGGAAAAAUAAUAUUAAAAAAUAAUAAUUAGGAAAAAAAGAUUGGAAAAAAUUCAGAAAAAA
Long non-coding RNA from Gallus gallus (chicken), 4729 nucleotides. The record is from Ensembl. Lineage: Eukaryota; Metazoa; Chordata; Aves; Galliformes; Phasianidae.